UACGUAGGGUGCGAGCGUUGUCCGGAAUUACUGGGCGUAAAGAGCUCGUAGGUGGUUUGUCGCGUUUGUCCGUGAAAACCUGCAGCUUAACUGUGGGCUUGCGGUCGAUACGGGCAAACUAGAGUGCGGUAGGGGAGAUUGGAAUUCCUGGUGUAGCGGUGGAAUGCGCAGAUAUCAGGAGGAACACCGAUGGCGAAGGCAGAUCUCUGGGCCGUAACUGACGCUGAGGAGCGAAAGCGUGGGGAGCGAACAGG
RNAcentral lists this ribosomal RNA (254 nucleotides) under uncultured bacterium. Its description in RNAcentral is "partial 16S ribosomal RNA". It matches the Rfam family "Bacterial small subunit ribosomal RNA", at positions 524 to 776 of the family's 1533-position model. The record is from RNAcentral.